UUGAUACUUUGUGCAUUAGAUCACCCCAAAGGAUCAGCAACGAUUCCAGUCUUCAUAUGCUUUGGUGCUUAAAGCUCAUAUGAAGGCAUUGAAGAAGAGAGAAAGGAAGGACAAGAAGAAAGCUGCUGAUGGUGACAAGAAAGAGGGAGAAGUGAAGAAACCAAAGAAGUCAGAUGCAGCUCCAAAACCAGCACAGUAGAGUUCUUGUGAGAUGGAGGUACUGUGUAGUUGGGAGGUCUUGCACAUCUGGAACACAAGGAUAGAUGGAAGGUCUUGCGCAUCUGGAGCAGGAGGUUAAAUAUUAUUAGUAAUUAUUAAGGCAUGAAAGAGGGAAAUUUGCUUUCAAUUAUUUUAGAAUUGCUCAAGUCCCAAGCUUGGUUGGCAUUCGUGCUGUUUUUUUUUUAAUUUCUUCAAGCUUCUGUCUUGUUGCCUGCAAAAUCUUUUCAUUGAAGUUUUUGUGCUUUUAAAGAAAUAUAUAAGAAUUUUAUCCAA
Long non-coding RNA from Dioscorea cayenensis subsp. rotundata (Guinea yam), 492 nucleotides. RefSeq lists it as uncharacterized. The transcript is spliced from 2 exons. NCBI's taxonomy places the organism in Eukaryota, Viridiplantae, Streptophyta, Magnoliopsida, Dioscoreales, Dioscoreaceae. The record is from RefSeq and is a predicted model, not a curated record.